UACGGGGGGGGCAAGCGUUGUUCGGAAUUACUGGGCGUAAAGGGCUCGUAGGCGGCCAACUAAGUCAGACGUGAAAUCCCUCGGCUUAACCGGGGAACUGCGUCUGAUACUGGAUGGCUUGAGUGUGGGAGAGGGAUGCGGAAUUCCAGGUGUAGCGGUGAAAUGCGUAGAUAUCUGGAGGAACAUCAGUGGCGAAGGCGGCUUUCUGGCCCAACACUGACGCUGAGGUGCGAAAGCGUGGGGAGCAAACAGG
RNAcentral lists this ribosomal RNA (253 nucleotides) under uncultured prokaryote. Its description in RNAcentral is "partial 16S ribosomal RNA". It matches the Rfam family "Bacterial small subunit ribosomal RNA", at positions 524 to 776 of the family's 1533-position model. The record is from RNAcentral.